GGACAUUUAGUCUAGUGGUAGGAUGUUGAACUAUUAAUUUCAAUAACUUGGGUUCGAUCUCUGAAAAGCUCA
Corchorus olitorius is the source of this 72-nucleotide non-coding RNA. Lineage: Eukaryota; Viridiplantae; Streptophyta; Magnoliopsida; Malvales; Malvaceae. The record is from Rfam.